GACGAACGCUGGCGGCGUGCUUAACACAUGCAAGUCGAACGGAAAGGCCCUGCUUUUGUGGGGUGCUCGAGUGGCGAACGGGUGAGUAACACGUGAGUAACCUGCCCUUGACUUUGGGAUAACUUCAGGAAACUGGGGCUACUACCGGAUAGGAGCUCCUGCUGCAUUGUGGGGGUUGGAACGUUUCGGCGGUUGGGGAUGGACUCGCGGCUUAUCAGCUUGUUGGUGGGGUAGUGGCUUACCAAGGCUUUGACGGGUAGCCGGCCUGAGAGGGUGACCGGCCACAUUGGGACUGAGAUACGGCCCAGACUCCUACGGGAGGCAGCAGUGGGGAAUAUUGCACAAUGGGCGGAAGCCUGAGGCAGCAACGCCGCGUGCGGGAUGACGGCCUUCGGGUUGUAAACCGCUUUCGCCUGUGACGAAGCGUGAGUGACGGUAAUGGGUAAAGAAGCACCGGCUAACUACGUG
RNAcentral lists this ribosomal RNA (468 nucleotides) under uncultured bacterium. Its description in RNAcentral is "partial 16S ribosomal RNA". It matches the Rfam family "Bacterial small subunit ribosomal RNA", at positions 28 to 507 of the family's 1533-position model. The record is from RNAcentral.